GGACAGCAUCUGGCAGACCAAAGAGUGCUGAAACGCUAGGCAAAGUAAUCGAGCAGCAACUCAAGACACCCUGCAUUACAAGGUGGAAUUCUCUGCAUGACUCCUUGAGUCAGUUGUCAUUCUUGCGUGACAAGCUCCCUGAUGCCAUGACUGCCCUGCAACUUCCACCAUUCAGGGAAGUCGAACUGGACUACAUUGAGGAAUUUUGCAGAGUGUUACGACCGAUUGCCAUCUCAAUAGAUCGGCUUCAAGGGCAAUCUGCAUGCUAUUAUGGUGAGCUGUUGCCAACACUUUUCACCAUUCAAGCCAAGCUGGAGGAUCUGCAAGCAUCAAACUUGAGGUACUGCUCACACGUUCUUCAAGCAACCAUAGCAGGGUUCAAAAAACGCUUCCACAAUUUUCUGAUGCUGGAGCAUGACGUGAAUGAGGCCAUCCUGGCAACCACAACACACCCAUACUUUAAGAUGAGGUGGUUACCCCAGAGGUUGGCUUCUGAGAAGAGGCGAAUACAGCAACUGAUGCUGCACUCAGCAGACGAACUCGGACUUCUCUCAGAGAGUGACGGGACCACACCGAGCACAGAGGAGAAUGACGAAUUCUUUGUGUUCACUGAUCAAGGAACAGUCAACCAGCUGGAGGCCGAGGCCUUGCCCAGCCACAGCAAGGCGGAACUGGAGACCCUUCAUUUUUUGGAGGAUCCCAGAAAAGACCUGGCUUCACUAAAUGCAUACCCUUUGAUGAAACAGCUUUUUGUGAGAUUUAACACAACCCUACCAUCCUCAGCCCCGGUUGAGCGCCUGUUUUCUUUUGCUGGCUUAGUGAACCGGCCUCACAGAAGGUCAUUAACACCAGAUAUGCUGGAGAAGUUGGUUGUCCUGAAGAACAACUGAUCUGUUUUUCUGUUUAAUAUGGAUAAAAUAAAAUGGAUUUGAAUGUAGCGUUA
This is a long non-coding RNA of Eleginops maclovinus (Patagonian blennie), 943 nucleotides long. RefSeq lists it as uncharacterized. The transcript has 2 exons. Lineage: Eukaryota; Metazoa; Chordata; Actinopteri; Perciformes; Eleginopidae. The record is from RefSeq and is a predicted model, not a curated record.